GGGUUGUGAGGUUAAGCGACUAAGCGUACACGGUGGAUGCCCUGGCAGUCAGAGGCGAUGAAGGACGUGCUAAUCUGCGAAAAGCGUCGGUAAGGUGAUAUGAACCGUUACAGCCGGCGAUGUCCGAAUGGGGAAACCCAGUGCAAUUCGUUGCACUAUCGUUAACUGAAUACAUAGGUUAACGAGGCGAACCGGGGGAACUGAAACAUCUAAGUACCCCGAGGAAAAGAAAUCAACCGAGAUUCCCCCAGUAGCGGCGAGCGAACGGGGAGCAGCCCAGAGUCUGAAUCAGCUUGUGUGUUAGUGGAACGGUCUGGAAAGUCCGACGGUACAGGGUGAUAGUCCCGUACACCAAAAUGCACAGGCUGUGAACUCGAAGAGUAGGGCGGGACACGUGGUAUCCUGUCUGAAUAUGGGGGGACCAUCCUCCAAGGCUAAAUACUCCUGACUGACCGAUAGUGAACCAGUACCGUGAGGGAAAGGCGAAAAGAACCCCGGCGAGGGGAGUGAAAAAGAACCUGAAACCGUGUACGUACAAGCAGUGGGAGCACCUUCGGGUGUGACUGCGUACCUUUUUGUAUAAUGGGUCAGCGACUUAUAUUCUGUAGCAAGGUUAACCGUAUAGGGGAGCCGCAGGGAAACCGAGUCUUAACUGGGCGUUAAGUUGCAGGGUAUAGACCCGAAACCCGGUGAUCUAGCCAUGGGCAGGUUGAAGGUUGGGUAACACUAACUGGAGGACCGAACCGACUAAUGUUGAAAAAUUAGCGGAUGACUUGUGGCUGGGGGUGAAAGGCCAAUCAAACCGGGAGAUAGCUGGUUCUCCCCGAAAGCUAUUUAGGUAGCGCCUCGUGAAUUCAUCUUCGGGGGUAGAGCACUGUUUCGGCUAGGGGGUCAUCCCGACUUACCAACCCGAUGCAAACUACGAAUACCGAAGAAUGUUAUCACGGGAGACACACGGCGGGUGCUAACGUCCGUCGUGAAGAGGGAAACAACCCAGACCGCCAGCUAAGGUCCCAAAGUCAUGGUUAAGUGGGAAACGAUGUGGGAAGGCACAGACAGCCAGGAUGUUGGCUUAGAAGCAGCCAUCAUUUAAAGAAAGCGUAAUAGCUCACUGGUCGAGUCGGCCUGCGCGGAAGAUGUAACGGGGCUAAACCAUGCACCGAAGCUGCGGCAGCGACACUAUGUGUUGUUGGGUAGGGGAGCGUUCUGUAAGCCUGCGAAGGUGUGCUGUGAGGCAUGCUGGAGGUAUCAGAAGUGCGAAUGCUGACAUAAGUAACGAUAAAGCGGGUGAAAAGCCCGCUCGCCGGAAGACCAAGGGUUCCUGUCCAACGUUAAUCGGGGCAGGGUGAGUCGACCCCUAAGGCGAGGCCGAAAGGCGUAGUCGAUGGGAAACAGGUUAAUAUUCCUGUACUUGGUGUUACUGCGAAGGGGGGGGACGGAGAAGGCUAUGUUAGCCGGGCGACGGUUGUCCCGGUUUAAGCAUGUAGGCUGGUUAUCCAGGCAAAUCCGGAUAAUCAAGGCUGAGGUGUGAUGACGAGGCACUACGGUGCUGAAGUAACAAAUGCCCUGCUUCCAGGAAAAGCCUCUAAGCAUCAGGUAACAUCAAAUCGUACCCCAAACCGACACAGGUGGUCAGGUAGAGAAUACCAAGGCGCUUGAGAGAACUCGGGUGAAGGAACUAGGCAAAAUGGUGCCGUAACUUCGGGAGAAGGCACGCUGGUGUGUAGGUGAAGUCCCUGCGGAUGGAGCUGAGACCAGUCGAAGAUACCAGCUGGCUGCAACUGUUUAUUAAAAACACAGCACUGUGCAAACACGAAAGUGGACGUAUACGGUGUGACGCCUGCCCGGUGCCGGAAGGUUAAUUGAUGGGGUUAUCCGUAAGGAGAAGCUCUUGAUCGAAGCCCCGGUAAACGGCGGCCGUAACUAUAACGGUCCUAAGGUAGCGAAAUUCCUUGUCGGGUAAGUUCCGACCUGCACGAAUGGCGUAAUGAUGGCCAGGCUGUCUCCACCCGAGACUCAGUGAAAUUGAACUCGCUGUGAAGAUGCAGUGUACCCGCGGCAAGACGGAAAGACCCCGUGAACCUUUACUAUAGCUUGACACUGAACAUUGAGCCUUGAUGUGUAGGAUAGGUGGGAGGCUUUGAAGCGUGGACGCCAGUCUGCGUGGAGCCAACCUUGAAAUACCACCCUUUAAUGUUUGAUGUUCUAACGUUGGCCCCUUACCGGGGUUGCGGACAGUGUCUGGUGGGUAGUUUGACUGGGGCGGUCUCCUCCCAAAGCGUAACGGAGGAGCACGAAGGUUAGCUAAUCCUGGUCGGACAUCAGGAGGUUAGUGCAAUGGCAUAAGCUAGCUUGACUGCGAGCGUGACGGCGCGAGCAGGUGCGAAAGCAGGUCAUAGUGAUCCGGUGGUUCUGAAUGGAAGGGCCAUCGCUCAACGGAUAAAAGGUACUCCGGGGAUAACAGGCUGAUACCGCCCAAGAGUUCAUAUCGACGGCGGUGUUUGGCACCUCGAUGUCGGCUCAUCACAUCCUGGGGCUGAAGUAGGUCCCAAGGGUAUGGCUGUUCGCCAUUUAAAGUGGUACGCGAGCUGGGUUUAGAACGUCGUGAGACAGUUCGGUCCCUAUCUGCCGUGGGCGCUGGAGAAUUGAGGGGGGCUGCUCCUAGUACGAGAGGACCGGAGUGGACGCAUCACUGGUGUUCGGGUUGUCAUGCCAAUGGCACUGCCCGGUAGCUAAAUGCGGAAGAGAUAAGUGCUGAAAGCAUCUAAGCACGAAACUUGCCCCGAGAUGAGUUCUCCCUGAGACUUUAAGUCUCCUGAAGGAACGUUAAAGACGAUGACGUUGAUAGGCCGGGUGUGUAAGCGCAGCGAUGCGUUGAGCUAACCGGUACUAA
This 2893-nucleotide ribosomal RNA is filed under the name Klebsiella pneumoniae. RNAcentral's name for it is "bacterial LSU rRNA". It matches the Rfam family "Bacterial large subunit ribosomal RNA". The record is from RNAcentral. Lineage: Bacteria; Pseudomonadati; Pseudomonadota; Gammaproteobacteria; Enterobacterales; Enterobacteriaceae.